GUUUAGAACGUCGUGAGACAGUUCGGUCCCUAUCUGCCGUGGGCGCUGGAGAACUGAGGGGGGCUGCUCCUAGUACGAGAGGACCGGAGUGGACGCAUCACUGGUGUUCGGGUUGUCAUGCCAAUGGCACUGCCCGGUAGCUAAAUGCGGAAGAGAUAAGUGCUGAAAGCAUCUAAGCACGAAACUUGCCCCGAGAUGAGUUCUCCCUGACCCUUUAAGGGUCCUGAAGGAACGUUGAAGACGACGACGUUGAUAGGCCGGGUGUGUAAGCGCAGCGAUGCGUUGAGCUAACCGGUACUAAUGAACCGUGAGGCUUAACCUUACAACGCCGAAGCUGUU
This 339-nucleotide ribosomal RNA is filed under the name Escherichia coli. RNAcentral describes it as "partial 23S ribosomal RNA". It matches the Rfam family "Bacterial large subunit ribosomal RNA", at positions 2609 to 2925 of the family's 2925-position model. Lineage: Bacteria; Pseudomonadati; Pseudomonadota; Gammaproteobacteria; Enterobacterales; Enterobacteriaceae. The record is from RNAcentral.